This 73-nucleotide transfer RNA is filed under the name Lepidotrigona terminata. RNAcentral's name for it is "tRNA-Glu". Lineage: Eukaryota; Metazoa; Arthropoda; Insecta; Hymenoptera; Apidae. The record is from RNAcentral.
AUAUAUAUAGUAUAAAAACAUUUAAUUACAUUUAACUUUCAAUUAAAAGAUUUAUGUAUACUUAAUAUAUAUA